CUCUUUCUAAUCUGCCAUUAAAUUAUCCAUCUCCUUAAAAGCGUAUGAGCUUAACUACAGAUCUACAGGCAAAGCCGUCAACUCGUUUCCCCUGAACUUGCACUGAAGAUAAAAAGUUGGUGUGCAAACUGUUGCUCCACUGUGAAGGGUUAAUGAAGAGGAAACAAAACGGAGCAUUAUUCUUCCACUGCCAUAAAUAUCUCUGUAUGGCUUACCUCCUCUCCCCGCCCUGAGCAGCAAGGCGAGUGUCAGGAAGGCACAUGUCAGAGCAGUUACACACACCUCCUAUCAGGGGAAAAUAACCUCAGGGACUUGGGGCAGAAAGGGGAAGGAGGGAAAGGAGGGGGAGAAAAGAGGAGAGACUUAGAGUCGCCACUUUGGUGCUGUCUGCUACAUGAUCGGAGCUCACUGAGCCAUGAAACAAUAUUAGGCACCACUCGAAAGUAACUUCACACCAUACUUCUUAAUUCACCUUAGAUUACUUAAGUGCUUCUGCCGUUUGCUGUUAAAUAAAACAAGGCUCACCACUUAGCGAGCCAAGCAGGGCAGACAAAAGGAGCGAGAUAUGCUAUACACCCCAAGGGCUGGGUGAAAACUACAGAGCUCACGUUGCACUAGGAUUUCGGAGGGGAGAGGGAAAGGAAUACACAAGGGGGCCCGAUUCUCUUUUCAUUUACGCCUAACAGCCAUGUAAUUCUGGCGACUCCCGGUGCAGUUAUUCCCAAUUCACUCCUGAUUCACACCGACACAACUCCACUGACGCCAGGGCAAUUAAUCCGGAUCUACACCAACAGAAUUCCAUCGUCUCCAGUGGUGAUCUGCAGGAGCCUGGUGUGUCAGAGAAUCGGCGCCCAUCUGUUAUUAUCAGCUGUACAAUGAAAGAGAGAGGGAAGAGGGGGAACACACACACAAUCAAGCUCAUCAUGAUUCUCCUUACCUGGGGGAGAGCCCGGAGGUCAGAGCGGCCCGAGCGGCCAGGAAGGGGGGCGCCGAGGCAGGAGCUGCGGCGGGCUUUUGAUGGUGGUUGCGGGUCCUUCUCGCCGGUCCCUCGGUGUCCCGCCACCGACUCCGAAAGGAGCGAGCGGGAGAAGGGGGGAGGAAGAAAGAAAAGAGACGGAGAGGGAGGGAGAGAGAAACCCAAACCUCCCUGAGGCUACAGCCAGCCAGGCGGGGCGAGAAGAGCGCCUGGCAGCAGAAAACCCCCCCCUUGAUCAAUUUUCAUGCAAGAAUCAUUAUCGGUAAAUUGGAAAUCUGGCUACUUGACAGCAGAUUUGUCUCCUCUAAUGAAAGCGGGAGGGUAGGAAACCAUCAGGCAUCUGUUCAUCGCAGGCAGUCUCCAGCGCUUAAUGCCGGGUUUGGUCCUCCGCUCCUGGACGGUCAUCUUCUGCUUCCCCCCAUUGCUUUUUUCUUUUUUUUUUUCUUGGGGGGAGGGAGGAGAGGUGGGGCUGGGGGUACAGGCGAAUUUGUAGCCGUUUUCACGCCCGAUCUUCCGGGGUGCAGGAAGCCAGGCGCCAAAGAAGCCAGUCCAUGAAAACCUGGAUGCAGACGUCUCUCUUUCCCCUUCCACCCGCUCAGAUAACUGCUAUCCCCCCGGCUCCCCCAGCCUCCUGCAACAUCCAGCCCCCCACGCUUCGCAGGCCUCCCCCCCCCCCCCCCCCGGAGGUGGGCUGUGUUUCCAAGCAGCUGCUGGUCAAAAACAACCCAAACGAUAAGCCAUACAAAAGACCUCCCAGCCACUUAAAAACAUUUGCCUUCACGGCCUGCCCUGAGCCUUUCUCUUCCCUCUCUCUGCCUCGCACAUAAAAGCCUGCCAGGAGCAGCGGGGGCCAAGAGUUAACUAUCUUGACUGAGGAGCAGAGAGAGAAGAAGAAAGAGGAGGAGGAUCCAAAAACUCCUACCUGCCCCAGAGGCUGGCUGCCAACAGCCCCGGCUGCCACACACACACACCCCUAGCCAGGUUCAGACUACAAGCCUUGUCCCUUCCCCCCCCCCAAUUCCCCCUUUCCUCCCCAGUCCGAAAAUAUCCCUGUUGUGACUGUAAUCAAGUGCCUGAUACAAUCUCACACAUUCCCUCUCCACCCAGGCAUUAUGAGAUCCGGGAAGACAUGCUCGCAGGCAAAUCGGGCUAAUAAAUGCUAUUACAGAGCUCAGGCUGCACCAUAGUAACAAAGGCCCAGGUUUAAUUUGCUUUAAGUAAACGAUCAAGUGACACAAUGUGCUGUGGGCCUUCCGCCCCUUUCCCCCACCCCCUCCAGAGCUGCCGGCUGCUUUCACUGCCGAAGUUCACCAAGGCAAAGGUGUGAUAUCUCCCUACUGCAAGAGAAAGCCACAUCCUGUCUGAUAACUGACCAGCCCAUGCACCAGCUUCAAGAUACAGUCCCUGCACAGUGGUGUGGCUUCCCCUUUGAAGUCAGAGUCACAAAGGAUCCCAACUGCAUGGGUGGUUAUACCCUUAUUGCACCUGGAAGUCCAGAAGCCACCAGCAGGUUGAAGAGACAUCAUCUGCAUUCCCGUCCAUGCACAGAAAUGGGGUCCAUACCUCAGGGGCACAUGGCUCCUCAUUGCACAUCUACUCCCAGACAGGCAACUACAGACUCUUUUAAACCAGUCCUGUAUUUCAUAUAACACACCGUGGGCCUGAUCCAAAGCCCACGGCUUUCCCUGGGAUCUGGAUCAGGUGCUGUAGGACAGAGAAAUACACAAAGGAAGAACCCUGCUACUUUCAGAUGAUGCCAGAGUCCCCCUGAAGCUAAUUUGGCAAAUAAUAUUUUGUGCAGGAUGAAUGGGUUUUUUUCUGGUUGAAAACCACGUAAGGAAGCCCAAAGCUUCCAUCUGCCAAUAUUGGAGCUGAAAGUAUUUCUGGGUGAGCAAGCGGGGGGUGAAAUUCAGGGCUCUCUCAUGUACCCAAGUAUUUCAGAGGCCCUUUUUUUAAGCUACUUUGCAGGAAAAUCCGCUGGAGCAAAGGGGGAUCCCCCCCGGCAGCGAACGAACACACACACGUACACAUGGUUUGAUUAAGCAAAAGUAAAAGCACUUACAAAGUGAAAUGACUUUGCCUUGUCCUCGACCUGUCCCCUAACGGUUCAGUGGGUGUAGACAGAGCACAGGCUCCUAUCAGCCCAGCCAGUCUGGGCAGGAGAUAAGCAAUAGCUUAAUCCUCCCCCGUCCCCAGCCUCCCCCUGAGUGCUAGGGUGGCCGCAGAGCCCUCGGUGCUGUGUGUGCUUCCUCCCCGCCCCUGAGCGGGGGGGGGGAAGGGUGUUGACCCAGUGGAAAUGAGCUGUUCUGGGGCCAUGACAACACAAACGCUGAGCAUCUCUGACCCUGCUUUUUUUUUUUUCUGCUGGGUGACCCCGGGCUUUCCUAUGGGCUCGUGUGCCCGGGAAUCUCUCUGGUUCCAGGGCACUGGCAAGCAUCACCCACCCUGCUCCUCACACAGCGGGGCCCUUUGUGCAAGGGCUUUCAAUCCCCCCCCACCCCAGCCUGCUCAGACUGUCACUCCAGAUCCAUGCCUGUGAGCAAGCACAGACACAGCCAGCCAGGUUAGGCCAGGCUCCCAUUAAGGAAUAAUGGCCAAUAUAACCCCUAAGGUGAUGCUUCCUCCCAUCAUGACCCCAACUCUCCCGCUAGUCCUGGGGUGCGGUUUGUGCCAUAGCCUCUGCCCCCACAACCCUGACAACAAUUCCGCCUCCCCUUGCAGGCGCUCUGUUUUCAGCUGCCAUGCCUUUACAGGUUUUUAAUUCGCCAGGAUGACACUAACGUCGGAGAUAAUUAAUACUACCCCCCCUCCCCCAUCAACGGUAUAUGCUAAUGGCGUGAGCCAUAAAAAUUAAUUUGCAAACAUGUCAUUACACAAUAGAGGUACAGGCAAUAAACCUGUAAUUACAGGCCAAUCACAGAGCGGGUACAGAGGGAGGGGUGCCUUGCCAAUCCAUUUUUUUUUUGUUUUAAUCAUAUAAAGCUCUACAGGAGAAUGGUUUCACUCAGUUAAGUUGGACUCCACUUCAAAAGCAAGCUGUGCCUCUGAGGCAGAGAGCACCUCUUGGCAGGCGUAAAUAAAUAUCAAUUAAUAAAUACCAAA
This is a long non-coding RNA of Chelonia mydas (Green sea turtle), 4078 nucleotides long. RefSeq lists it as uncharacterized. Lineage: Eukaryota; Metazoa; Chordata; Testudines; Cheloniidae. The record is from RefSeq and is a predicted model, not a curated record. The transcript has 2 exons.